This 653-nucleotide ribosomal RNA is filed under the name bacterium LB-167. RNAcentral's name for it is "bacterial SSU rRNA". It matches the Rfam family "Bacterial small subunit ribosomal RNA", at positions 782 to 1434 of the family's 1533-position model. The record is from RNAcentral.
GUACCCUGGUAGUCCACGCUGUAAACGAUGUCGACUUGGAGGUUGUGCCCUUGAGGCGUGGCUUCCGGAGCUAACGCGUUAAGUCGACCGCCUGGGGAGUACGGCCGCAAGGUUAAAACUCAAAUGAAUUGACGGGGGCCCGCACAAGCGGUGGAGCAUGUGGUUUAAUUCGAUGCAACGCGAAGAACCUUACCUACUCUUGACAUCCACGGAAUUCGCCAGAGAUGGCUUAGUGCCUUCGGGAACCGUGAGACAGGUGCUGCAUGGCUGUCGUCAGCUCGUGUUGUGAAAUGUUGGGUUAAGUCCCGCAACGAGCGCAACCCUUAUCCUUUGUUGCCAGCACGUAAUGGUGGGAACUCAAAGGAGACUGCCGGUGAUAAACCGGAGGAAGGUGGGGAUGACGUCAAGUCAUCAUGGCCCUUACGAGUAGGGCUACACACGUGCUACAAUGGCAUAUACAAAGAGAAGCGAACUCGCGAGAGCAAGCGGACCUCAUAAAGUAUGUCGUAGUCCGGAUUGGAGUCUGCAACUCGACUCCAUGAAGUCGGAAUCGCUAGUAAUCGUAGAUCAGAAUGCUACGGUGAAUACGUUCCCGGGCCUUGUACACACCGCCCGUCACACCAUGGGAGUGGGUUGCAAAAGAAGUAGGUAGC